UGGGAUGUAGUGUAAUUGGUAGCACUGAGAUUUUUGAAUUCUCGAGUUCAGGUUCGAUUCCUGUAGUUCUAG
Molecule: transfer RNA, 72 nt
Filed under: Mammut americanum (American mastodon)
Lineage: Eukaryota; Metazoa; Chordata; Mammalia; Proboscidea; Mammutidae
Description: tRNA-Gln
Rfam family: tRNA
About the family: Transfer RNA (tRNA) molecules are approximately 80 nucleotides in length.
Source: RNAcentral